RNAcentral lists this ribosomal RNA (561 nucleotides) under Triticum aestivum (bread wheat). RNAcentral describes it as "partial small subunit ribosomal RNA". Lineage: Eukaryota; Viridiplantae; Streptophyta; Magnoliopsida; Poales; Poaceae. The record is from RNAcentral.
AUGGAAGACGCUCUAAUGGAGGUAGCCGACGGGCCGCUGGCGGCAGGCGGUGAGCGGCGUGCCGCAAAGGCACUUGUUGUGGAGGUAGCUGUAGCGGUCGAACCUGGACAUGUUGCCGCCGGUGGGCACGGCGCCGCACAGCCUGUUGAAGCUCACGUUGAACUGCUGGAGGCCAGCCAGGGUCGCCACCUGCGCCGGGAUGGAGCCGCGGAUGGCGUUGUGGCUGAGGUCGGCGUAGGUGAGCUGCUCCGGGAACUCCACGGCGGAGAGGUCAAAGUUGAGGGCGUUGCGGGACACGUCGAGGUGCUGGAUGACCUUCUCUGCGCCGAAGAGGCUGGUGGCGUCGCCGGAGAGGGCGUUGCGGGAGAGGUCGACGUAGGAGAAGUUGACAGCGGCGAACUCAGUCGGGAUGGCGCCGGAGAGGUUGUUGUGGGAGAGCUGGAGGUAGGCGCCGUCGGGGGACUUGGACAAGAGGAGCGACGGGAUGGUGCCGGAGAGGCUGUUGCGGCGGAGGUUGAUACUAGAGAGGCUGAUGAGGUUGGCGAGGGACGUCCGGGAUGA